This 812-nucleotide unclassified non-coding RNA is filed under the name Hevea brasiliensis (rubber tree). The record is from RNAcentral. Lineage: Eukaryota; Viridiplantae; Streptophyta; Magnoliopsida; Malpighiales; Euphorbiaceae.
UACAAAAUGCAGCUGAUCAAAGAUGUACAAUAACUUCUAUCCAAAAGAAUAGUCAAAAUAGAUAGAAAAGAAUAAGCUAUUUUUAGAACUUUACAAUAUUAGGAUCUAAAAAGAACAGUAUGAUCACCAUAAUCUUUCUAUCAUCAUGUUGAAUGUAUCAUCACCUUGAAGGUGUUUCUGAUGGCUGACUAUUCAAUGCAGAACUUGAGGGAAUAGAAGGCAUAGCUCCAUUUUCUUGAGACGAUGAACCGCCCCACUUGGGCUCUGCAUCUGAUGGCUCGAUCACAUGCACUGUGCCAUCACUCAUACCAAGAGCAAAUUGAUGGGAAUCAGAUGGAUGUGCUGCUAUCACUACAGGAAAUGCAGCGCCGCUGCCGCUGCCAAUUGAAGAUAAGUAAGCCGAGGGUGCAAUUCUACAUCGAAGUCUGAGACUGUCUGCAUCAAAUAUUCCGAUUGCACCAUCACAGAAUCCAGUAAAAAUCAGCAGACCAUCACAUGAAUAUAUAGCACUUGAAAUGGGAGCAGAAAGUGAAUCUCUUGGAUACCAUGAACGUUGACAUUCAAGUUGGGUAUCAUAGAUUCCAAUUUGGCUUUCAUGAACUACUAGUAUAUGAGAUUGGUCAUUAUGGAAUUGGACUCUAGUUUCUCCAACUAAGGGAGCUUGGUGACCUGGUGGCACUUGUAUAGGUCUUGCUUUUUUCUUUUCCCAGCCAUCAACACUCCAGAUACAUAGCUGUGCAUCUGCACCUGAAGAUACCAGUACAUUCAAGCUCUGUGAAAAAGCAAGGCCUGUGAUCCGUUUCUGGUGACCC